GACGAACGCUGGCGGCGUGCUUAACACAUGCAAGUCGAACGGUAAGGCCCUUCGGGGUACACGAGUGGCGAACGGGUGAGUAACACGUGGGUGAUCUGCCCUGCACUUCGGGAUAAGCCUGGGAAACUGGGCCUAAUACCGGAUAGGACCCUGGGAUGCAUGUCCUGGGGUGGAAAGCUUUUGCGGUGUGGGAUGGGCCCGCGGCCUAUCAGCUUGUUGGUGGGGUGAUGGCCUACCAAGGCGACGCCGGGUAGCCGGCCUGAGAGGGUGACCGGCCACACUGGGACUGAGAUACGGCCCAGACUCCUACGGGAGGCAGCAGUGGGGAAUAUUGCACAAUGGGCGCAAGCCUGAUGCAGCGACGCCGCGUGAGGGAUGACGGACUUCGGGUUGUAAACCUCUUUCAGCACUGACGAAGCGCAAGUGACGGUAGGUGCAGAAGAAGGACCGGCCAACUACGUGCCAGCAGCCGCCGUAA
RNAcentral lists this ribosomal RNA (478 nucleotides) under uncultured bacterium. RNAcentral describes it as "partial 16S ribosomal RNA". It matches the Rfam family "Bacterial small subunit ribosomal RNA", at positions 28 to 523 of the family's 1533-position model. The record is from RNAcentral.